Molecule: non-coding RNA, 45 nt
Filed under: Trichobilharzia regenti
Lineage: Eukaryota; Metazoa; Platyhelminthes; Trematoda; Strigeidida; Schistosomatidae
Source: RNAcentral
AUCCAGAUGACGAGUCUCAAAAAGGACGAAAUUUAUGUUCUGGAU